RNAcentral lists this ribosomal RNA (266 nucleotides) under uncultured prokaryote. RNAcentral describes it as "partial 16S ribosomal RNA". It matches the Rfam family "Bacterial small subunit ribosomal RNA", at positions 524 to 788 of the family's 1533-position model. The record is from RNAcentral.
UACGUAGGGUGCGAGCGUUGUCCGGAAUUACUGGGCGUAAAGAGCUCGUAGGUGGUUUGUCACGUCGUCUGUGAAAUUCCGGGGCUUAACCUCGGGCGUGCAGGCGAUACGGGCAAUACUUGAGUGCUGUAGGGGGGACUGGAAUUCCUGGUGUAGCGGUGAAAUGCGCAGAUAUCAGGAGGAACACCGAUGGCGAAGGCAGGUCUCUGGGCAGUAACUGACGCUGAGGAGCGAAAGCAUGGGUAGCGAACAGGAUUAGAUACCCG